GAUGAACGCUGGCGGCGUGCCUAAUACAUGCAAGUAGAACGCUGAAGGAAGGAGCUUGCUCUUUCCGGAUGAGUUGCGAACGGGUGAGUAACGCGUAGGUAACCUGCCUGGUAGCGGGGGAUAACUAUUGGAAACGAUAGCUGAUACCGCAUAACAGUAGAUGUUGUAUGAUAUCUACUUAAAAGGUGCAAUUGCACCACUACCAGAUGGACCUGCGUUGUAUUAGCUAGUUGGUGAGGUAACGGCUCACCAAGGCGACGAUACAUAGCCGACCUGAGAGGGUGAUCGGCCACACUGGGACUGAGACACGGCCCAGACUCCUACGGGAGGCAGCAGUAGGGAAUCUUCGGCAAUGGACGGAAGUCUGACCGAGCAACGCCGCGUGAGUGAAGAAGGUUUUCGGAUCGUAAAGCUCUGUUGUAAGAGAAGAACGAGUGUGAGAGUGGAAAGUUCACACUGUGACGGUAUCUUACCAGAAAGGGACGGCUAACUACGUG
RNAcentral lists this ribosomal RNA (497 nucleotides) under uncultured bacterium. RNAcentral's name for it is "partial 16S ribosomal RNA". It matches the Rfam family "Bacterial small subunit ribosomal RNA", at positions 28 to 507 of the family's 1533-position model. The record is from RNAcentral.